This is a long non-coding RNA of Athene cunicularia (burrowing owl), 108 nucleotides long. RefSeq lists it as uncharacterized. Lineage: Eukaryota; Metazoa; Chordata; Aves; Strigiformes; Strigidae. The record is from RefSeq and is a predicted model, not a curated record. The transcript has 3 exons.
CCCUCAUCAUGCUCUGUAGUUUAUAGUAAUACUUAAGAUAGCUAUCAUUUUUACCAGUCUGUAUGUACAGACGUCCCUACGGAUGGUUAACAUCCCACACAUUGUUGA